This 381-nucleotide ribosomal RNA is filed under the name Triticum aestivum (bread wheat). Its description in RNAcentral is "partial small subunit ribosomal RNA". The record is from RNAcentral. Lineage: Eukaryota; Viridiplantae; Streptophyta; Magnoliopsida; Poales; Poaceae.
AUGGACCCCAGGCGGCCAUGGCGACACUUGCAUCUGCCACGGGACUCCGAGGUACAGCAAGUGUUCCGAGCUUCCACGGCUUGGACACUCGAUGACGGCCGGACAUGCAGAUUUUGGAUCGAUCACUGGUUGGACGGGCAGUCAAUCUCUGAGAUUGCUCCAUCUAUCGUCGCAAUGGUUCAGCACCGAUGGAAACGCGCGUGCCUUGUAUGCGAUGGCCUCCAUGAUCAUAGUUGGAUCUCUGACAUUGCCGGUGCACUAGGCCCACUGGCAAUGCUCGAGUACAUCAAUCUAUGGUGCCGUAUUCAGAUGGUCUCCCUCUCUACCACCCCGGACACCCUCACCCCGCGAUGGACUGAUACGUCUCCAACAUAUCUAUAA